GGAAAAUCCGGAUCCGUAACGAAUCGCAGCUCUCGAGUCGGUCCGUACCCACCAUCCGCAGCAGUUCUCCAAGGUGUACAGCCUCUCGUCGAUAGCGCCAAUGUCAGUAAGGGAAGUCGGCAAAAUGGAUCCGUACCUUCGGAAGAGGGAUUGGCUCCGAGGACCGGGUCGGUCGGGCCGUGUGUGCCGCCUCGCUCCCGCGCGGUCGCGUCGC
Molecule: long non-coding RNA, 214 nt
Filed under: Octopus vulgaris (common octopus)
Lineage: Eukaryota; Metazoa; Mollusca; Cephalopoda; Octopoda; Octopodidae
Rfam family: Eukaryotic large subunit ribosomal RNA
Source: RNAcentral